UGAGAUGUCAUAUGUUGCCUAGGCUGC
Molecule: non-coding RNA, 27 nt
Filed under: Homo sapiens (human)
Lineage: Eukaryota; Metazoa; Chordata; Mammalia; Primates; Hominidae
Source: RNAcentral